RNAcentral lists this transfer RNA (61 nucleotides) under bovine gut metagenome. It matches the Rfam family "tRNA", at positions 8 to 63 of the family's 71-position model. From Rfam's summary of the family: Transfer RNA (tRNA) molecules are approximately 80 nucleotides in length. Their secondary structure includes four short double-helical elements and three loops (D, anti-codon, and T loops). The record is from RNAcentral.
UAGCUCAGUCGGUAGAGCACUCGGCUGUUAACCGAUAGGUCGUAGGUUCGAGUCCUACAUC